This 419-nucleotide ribosomal RNA is filed under the name uncultured bacterium. Its description in RNAcentral is "bacterial SSU rRNA". It matches the Rfam family "Bacterial small subunit ribosomal RNA", at positions 362 to 773 of the family's 1533-position model. The record is from RNAcentral.
UAUUGGACAAUGGGGGCAACCCUGAUCCAGCGACGCCGCGUGUGUGAAGAAGGCCUGCGGGUUGUAAGGCACUUUUAGUGGGGAUGAAAAGCCCAUUGCUAAUACCAGUGUGUCUUGACCUAACCCAAAGAAAAAGCACCGGCUAACUCUGUGCCAGCAGCCGCGGUAAUACGUAGGUCGCAAGCGUUGUCCGGAUUUACUGGGCGUAAAGAGCGCGCAGGCGGCUGGCCAAGUCCGUUGUGAAAGCUUCCGGCUUAACCGGGAAAUUGCAACGGAAACUGGUCGGCUUGAAGGUGGGAGAGGGUAGCGGAAUUCCCGGUGUAGUGGUGAAAUGCGUAGAUAUCGGGAGGAACACCAGUGGCGAAGGCGGCUACCUGGCCCAUUCUUGACGCUGAGGCGCGAAAGCGUGGGGAUCAAAC